GUGCUCACUUCGGCAGCAUGUAUACUAAAAUUAUAAUGAUACAGAGAAGAUUAGCAUGGCCACUGCGCAAGGAUGACACGCAAACCCCAAUACUAGCACACACAUGAA
Molecule: small nuclear RNA, 108 nt
Organism: Perognathus longimembris pacificus (Pacific pocket mouse)
Lineage: Eukaryota; Metazoa; Chordata; Mammalia; Rodentia; Heteromyidae
Source: RefSeq, a predicted model, not a curated record